Molecule: long non-coding RNA, 1228 nt
Filed under: Homo sapiens (human)
Lineage: Eukaryota; Metazoa; Chordata; Mammalia; Primates; Hominidae
Description: non-protein coding lnc-GLDC-2:1
Source: RNAcentral
GGCACCCUUCCUCCAGUUCUCAGGGUGAUGGUCGCGAUAGUUGCACCAGCACAUGAGGGCGAAAACCUCUUGUGCUGCCUCCCCGUGACUGCCAGUUCCCGGACCACGUUCUCCCCAAGAGCCCAAGAAGGGCAGACAGCCAGGCGCGCUUGGCUGGUCUCGGGAGGAGGAAGUGGCGGAAGUGGGAUUUGGGAAACAAUCCUGGAGUCGGUGUGCUACGCAUGCGCCGAGGGAAGCGGCCAGGCGGGUGGAGGCGGUGACCGCGCGGAGGCACCGGCGGCCCAGAGGCUUAUAGUCUCGCGCGCACAGCAGCGCGCUACGCGGCCAUCACAGCACAGCCGAUCCAGAGUCCAGUCACGUGACCCGCUCGUGGCAGUCCGUGUGGGGCACUGUAGUAGCAUUUAGUGAGUCAGGCGAACCUAGCGGGCUGCCGCCCCAGAUCAGUUUCUCCGUCAGAUUCCAUUUCUCCAGCGGCACCUGAACCGGCGCGGUCCUCUGCGUCUUCUUGCUCCCUGGGGAUGGGGCCCGGAGCCCCCUUCUUCAUAGAAGGGAAAGAGAUUUGAGCAGGUGGAAGGAACAGGUGCCCAGGACGCUGUCCCGACGCCCACACGAUGCGCUGAGACCUGAGCUUACCCUCGCGUGUCCCAUCGUGCGGUGGUUCUGUCGCGGCCCUAUGGGGAGGGACUCUGUCAGACGGGGACGUCACGAGGCGGCCUUGCCGGGCAGGGUAUUGGGGGUACCGGCUCCAUAGUUUAACUCCGCCUAGUAGUGACCGCGUCUUUUUGCGGUUUUCCUCAGUCCUGUGGCCGGAGACCUCUGCAGUCUCCCUCCCGCAAUGGAGACGUCCUAGGAGGUCUUCUGUUUCCAUGUUUAGGGAAAUGGGAAACCUACAUAGUUUAGUAACAAAUUGAAAGAGUAGUCCAAAGUCUUCCAACAAAGAAGACUGCAAGCCACCAUGGCUUCCCUGGCAAAUUGAACGAUAUAUAAGAGGAAAACAUAAUUCCAGUCUUUAAUAGUUCCAGAAUAAAAGGGGGAAGGAAGAUGAAAGCGGGUAACACUUUUAAACUUUUUAAUGGCCUAGCAUAACCCUGAUAGGAAAACCUGACGAGAACAGCGAAUGGAAGGAAAAGUGUAUGCAAGUUUUGCUCAUGAGUCUAGACGGGAAACUCUGUAAGCAAAAUAUUAGCAAAAUCUAGUAUUAUGUGAAAGGAAUAAUACCAUAGCCAAG